UACGUAGGGGGCGAGCGUUGUCCGGAUUUAUUGGGCGUAAAGAGCGUGUAGGCGGCCAGAUAGGUCUGCUGUGAAAACUCGAGGCUCAACCUCGAGACGUCGGCGGAAACCAUCUGGCUAGAGUCCGGAAGAGGAGAGUGGAAUUCCUGGUGUAGCGGUGAAAUGCGCAGAUAUCAGGAAGAACACCCGUGGCGAAGGCGGCUCUCUGGGACGGUACUGACGCUGAGACGCGAAAGCGUGGGGAGCAAACAGG
Molecule: ribosomal RNA, 253 nt
Filed under: uncultured bacterium
Lineage: Bacteria
Description: partial 16S ribosomal RNA
Rfam family: Bacterial small subunit ribosomal RNA
Source: RNAcentral